This is a long non-coding RNA of Rosa chinensis, 1400 nucleotides long. RefSeq lists it as uncharacterized. Lineage: Eukaryota; Viridiplantae; Streptophyta; Magnoliopsida; Rosales; Rosaceae. The transcript has 4 exons. The record is from RefSeq and is a predicted model, not a curated record.
UUCAUCGAUUUUUUCUUAAUAAUAUUCUUCGACAAGCGCCAAAAUUUUUGGCCAAAUAUUGAACUUCCCUCUCGAAUGAAAAAAGAAAGAUUCUUGUUCUUUCAAAAAAAAAAAAAUGAAUGAAAAAGAAAGAGAUAGAAGACCGCCUUCAACGGCGUCGUCGAGGAGCUCAAGAAUUUCACGACUCGCGUCCCCCAAGUGCUUCCCCUUUCAGGCGACGGAGGAAGCACCGCCGAUAUUGUCCGCGUCCUCAGAGAGACUCAUUAUCUCAAAUCUCCUCUUCAAAUUGGAUUUCGGGAGUCCGAUGCCGGCGAUGCAGGAAGAUCCGCCGGACGGCUGAGGCGAUAUCCAGAAAUCCGAAACCGUUACUGCGAUGGUCCUCAGAACCAAAUAGAAAAAUGCCAGCUACAGCUCGUCGAACACGAAGACAUCGAUGAUGAAGACGACCUCUUCGAAGCGAUCGAUGAGAUUAAUUUUCAAAUUCCUGAUGGAUUUUCUUAGUGACUUCUCGCCGGAAUUGAGUGCGUUUGCUCCCAAUUUUAUGAUUAGAAGUAAAUUUCAAGAGAAAAUUGCUUCAGAAGUGACUAAAUCGAAGUUUUAAUGGAGCGAUGAGAAUUAUGUGCAAUGAUUGCUCAGGGAAUCAAUGCCGGAGAUGUUAAGAAGCUUCAGGACGCAGGGAUCUACACCUGGCAAUUCACCAAGAAGCUUCCUACUAACAUGCAUGGUGGGAAUGGAAAGGUUGCUUACAUUGAUACUGAGGGAACUUUGUAUCCUUUUCCUUUGUCCAUCCAAACUAAUGUUUCAUGUUGCUUUUUAUCAACAAAGGAUGACCAAGAAUUAUCAACAUAGGAUCAUUCCUGCUGACAUACAGAUAUACUUUGAAGAAACACGCCGCUAACACACAAGUAUAUUGCUUCUCCCCAUCUACUGAGUGUAUUCCAGUUUGUAUAGCCUCCUCAAUGUCGAGGUAACUAGCUCUUAUAAUCAAUGCACUCUGUUAUGUGCCCCUAUUUCUCUCUUUCUUUCUUUUUUCUCUACAGAACUUGAUGCUUUGGCCAAUAACCAUGAAACUAUUUCCAGGAAAUAUAAUGUAUUGCAAUCAUCUACUUGUUCAUGUGCACCAUUGAGUUCAGACUUCAUAGACACCAUGUGGAAUGUAGUAUAUUGUGAUAGAGAUCAUUCCCUAACUUAUCGUUUUAUUAGUCAAAAGGAUUAAAUGAUGUAAUGAGAUUUAGUAUAUCAUUGUUACGCUUCUAGUUGUAGUUGAUUGAGAUAAUUUUGAGGUAAGAGUUUCUUUUACAUUGGAUAUAUUGUACCUCUACUUUGUUUCAAUAAGUGUCUAAACAUGAUAUGGCUAAUGGCUACAUUGUUGGGGUGACUCUUGGGGUGACUCUGGAACA